Molecule: long non-coding RNA, 327 nt
Filed under: Phoenix dactylifera (date palm)
Lineage: Eukaryota; Viridiplantae; Streptophyta; Magnoliopsida; Arecales; Arecaceae
Description: long non-coding RNA (PDAC_LNC017595)
Source: RNAcentral
UCUAGUCGGUGAGCCUGGAAAAACCGACCGAGUUCGUUGUGAGCUCGUAAAACAACAAGUUUGGUUGUGAGCUUGGAAAACAACCGGAUGUAAUCCAAGGGGGUUAUAGUGAAUUCCCAAGUGAGACUUGGGGAGUGGACGUAGGAGCAAGGGUUAGCUCCGAACCACUAUAAAACCUUGUGUUUGUGUUGGAUUGUCUCUCUUCUUCUUCCCCUCACAUCACUCACAGCACUUAGCAUUAAUUAAAUAACUUGCAAUAGUUUUUAAUUAGUCAACCACAUCGUUUUAAUUAUUCAAAUUAUUUUAAAACUCAAUUCACCCCCCCUC